This 450-nucleotide ribosomal RNA is filed under the name uncultured bacterium. RNAcentral's name for it is "bacterial SSU rRNA". It matches the Rfam family "Bacterial small subunit ribosomal RNA", at positions 355 to 825 of the family's 1533-position model. The record is from RNAcentral.
UGGGGAAUAUUGCACAAUGGGGGAAACCCUGAUGCAGCGACGCCGCGUGAGUGGUGAAGGCCUUCGGGUCGUAAAGCUCUGUCGUAUGGGACUAACAAAAUGAAGGUACCAUGCAAGAAAGGAUCGGCUAACUUCGUGCCAGCAGCCGCGGUAAGACGAGGGAUCCUAGCGUUGUUCGGAAUUAUUGGGCGUAAAGCGGGUGUAGGCGGACUUAUAAGUCAGGUGUGAAAUCCCAGGGCUCAACCCUGGAAGUGCACUUGAUACUGCAAGUCUUGAGUGUGGUAGAGGCUAUUAGAAUUCCUGGUGUAGUGGUGAAAUACGUAGAUAUCAGGAGGAAUACCGGAGGCGAAGGCGGAUAGCUGGGCCAACACUGACGCUGAGACCCGAAAGCGUGGGGAUCAAACAGGAUUAGAUACCCCAGUAGUCCCUGAGCGGGCUGGCAAGGCGCAU